Molecule: ribosomal RNA, 378 nt
Filed under: uncultured organism
Description: partial 16S ribosomal RNA
Rfam family: Bacterial small subunit ribosomal RNA
Source: RNAcentral
GAGGGGGGCGCAAACGUUAUUCGGAAUCACUGGGUGUAAAGAGUGCGUAGACGGCAUUCCAAGCUUGUUGUUAAAUUCCCCGGGCCUAACCGGGGGCUUGCGACGGGGACUGGUUUGCUAGAGGGCGGAAGAGAGAAGUGGAAUUCCCGGAGUAGCGGUAAAAUGCGUAGAUCUCGGGAGGAACACCGAUGGCGUAGGCAGCUUCUUGGUCCGCAUCUGACGUUGAGGCACGAAAGCGUGGGGAGCAAACAGGAUUAGAUACCCUGGUAGUCCACGCCGUAAACGAUGAUCACUGGACGUCGGAUUGGCUUUAGCUGAUCCGGUGUCGAAGCUAACGCGUUAAGUGAUCCACCUGGGGAGUACGGUCGCAAAGAUUAA